RNAcentral lists this ribosomal RNA (253 nucleotides) under uncultured bacterium. RNAcentral's name for it is "partial 16S ribosomal RNA". It matches the Rfam family "Bacterial small subunit ribosomal RNA", at positions 524 to 776 of the family's 1533-position model. The record is from RNAcentral.
UACAGAGAGUGCAACCGUUGUUCGGAAUUACUGGGCUUAAAGCGCACGUAGGCGGCGUCGUAAGUGUCGGGUGAAAUCCCACGGCUCACCCGUGGAACUGCCCGGCAUACUGCGGCGCUAGAGUGUGGUAGGGAAGAGCGGAACUCCUGGUGGAGCGGUGAAAUGCGUAGAUAUCAGGAGGAACACCGGUGGCGAAGGCGGGUCUCUGGGCCGAUAUUGACGCUGAGGAGCGAAAGCGUGGGGAGCAAACAGG